This 827-nucleotide ribosomal RNA is filed under the name bacterium. Its description in RNAcentral is "bacterial SSU rRNA". It matches the Rfam family "Bacterial small subunit ribosomal RNA", at positions 24 to 866 of the family's 1533-position model. The record is from RNAcentral.
UCAGGACGAACGCUGGCGGCGUGCUUAACACAUGCAAGUCGAACGGAAAGGCCCUUCGGGGUGCUCGAGUGGCGAACGGGUGAGUAACACGUGGGUGAUCUGCCCUGCACUUUGGGAUAAGCCUGGGAAACUGGGUCUAAUACCGGAUAGGACCACGCGCUUCAUGGUGUGUGGUGGAAAGCUUUUGCGGUGUGGGAUGGGCCCGCGGCCUAUCAGCUUGUUGGUGGGGUAAUGGCCUACCAAGGCGUCGACGGGUAGCCGGCCUGAGAGGGUGUCCGGCCACACUGGGACUGAGAUACGGCCCAGACUCCUACGGGAGGCAGCAGUGGGGAAUAUUGCACAAUGGGCGCAAGCCUGAUGCAGCGACGCCGCGUGGGGGAUGACGGCCUUCGGGUUGUAAACCUCUUUCAGCACAGACGAAGCGCAAGUGACGGUAUGUGCAGAAGAAGCACCGGCCAACUACGUGCCAGCAGCCGCGGUAAUACGUAGGGUGCGAGCGUUGUCCGGAAUUACUGGGCGUAAAGAGCUUGUAGGUGGUUUGUCGCGUUGUUCGUGAAAUCUCACGGCUUAACUGUGAGCGUGCGGGCGAUACGGGCAGACUAGAGUACUGCAGGGGAGACUGGAAUUCCUGGUGUAGCGGUGGAAUGCGCAGAUAUCAGGAGGAACACCGGUGGCGAAGGCGGGUCUCUGGGCAGUAACUGACGCUGAGAAGCGAAAGCGUGGGGAGCGAACAGGAUUAGAUACCCUGGUAGUCCACGCCGUAAACGGUGGGUACUAGGUGUGGGUUUCCUUCCUUGGGAUCCGUGCCGUAGCUAACGCAUUAAGUA